This 338-nucleotide long non-coding RNA is filed under the name Carica papaya (papaya). Its description in RNAcentral is "long non-coding RNA (CPAP_LNC002362)". Lineage: Eukaryota; Viridiplantae; Streptophyta; Magnoliopsida; Brassicales; Caricaceae. The record is from RNAcentral.
UAAAUUUCUUAUCGAAACCUUGAAUUUUUCCUACACCUUUCCUCUUCUUCUCCUCUCCUUUUCUCUCUAGAUCACUCCCUCCCUCUCUAAGAUCUUAUAAGAUGGAAGAAUGAAAUGGAAGUGAUGAGGAAAAUGGAAGAAAGAGGUCCCUAUUUAUAGAAAAUGGGAAUUGCUGGAUUUGCACCAAGUGGCAAAAUCUGGUGACAAGAGAGAAAGCUGAGUGGAAGAUGAGUGAUUUGACAACGCGACGGCGGCACAAAAAAUAGAGGAAGAAUUCCUCCACUCGCGGUAGCUCUUAACCCAAGGCGGUAGCACACUGCCAAAGGCAACGCACGUUU